RNAcentral lists this ribosomal RNA (481 nucleotides) under uncultured bacterium. Its description in RNAcentral is "partial 16S ribosomal RNA". It matches the Rfam family "Bacterial small subunit ribosomal RNA", at positions 28 to 507 of the family's 1533-position model. The record is from RNAcentral.
GAUGAACGCUGGCGGCGUGCUUAACACAUGCAAGUCGAACGAAGCAUUUAAGACAGAUUACUUCGGUUUGAGGUCUUUUAUGACUGAGUGGCGGACGGGUGAGUAACGCGUGGGUAACCUGCCUCAUACAGGGGGAUAGCAGCUGGAAACGGCUGGUAAUACCGCAUAAGCGCACAGUACCACAUGGUACAGUGUGAAAAACUCCGGUGGUAUGAGAUGGACCCGCGUCUGAUUAGCUUGUUGGCGGGGUAACGGCCCACCAAGGCGACGAUCAGUAGCCGACCUGAGAGGGUGACCGGCCACAUUGGGACUGAGACACGGCCCAGACUCCUACGGGAAGCAGCAGUGGGGAAUAUUGCACAAUGGAGGAAACUCUGAUGCAGCGACGCCGCGUGAGUGAAGAAGUAGUUCGCUAUGUAAAGCUCUAUCAGCAGGGAAGAUAGUGACGGUACCUGACUAAGAAGCUCCGGCUAAAUACGUG